UUUUGUUAGCAUUAAUCGUUGGUCAAUUUGUACUAUGAGACAAAAUAUCAACUGAGGUAUUUUCUAUCACUACUUAAGUGAAGAGGAAGAGAUAAGAAUAAAAGAAAAGAAGAAAUGGAUAAGAAGAAAAAAGAAAAACAUGGAAGAGGGAAAAAGCAGAAGAGAAAGAGAGUUAUUAGAAAAGAGAAAAGAAAAGAAAAGUAGAAAAAAGAAAAUAAAAGAGAAA
RNAcentral lists this long non-coding RNA (226 nucleotides) under Lathyrus oleraceus (garden pea). RNAcentral's name for it is "Pisum sativum (pea) long non-coding RNA (PSAT_LNC001339)". Lineage: Eukaryota; Viridiplantae; Streptophyta; Magnoliopsida; Fabales; Fabaceae. The record is from RNAcentral.